GAUGAAGAACGUAGCAAAAUGCGAUAAGUAGUGUGAAUUGCAGAAUUCAGUGAAUCAUCGAAUCUUUGAACGCACAUUGCGCCCCCCAGUAUUCUGGCGGGCAUGCCUGUUCGAGCGUCAUUUCAACCAUCAAGCCCUGCUUGUGUUGGGGUCCUGCGGCUGCCCGCAGGCCCUGAAAACCAGUGGCGGGCUCGCUAGUCACACCGAGCGCAGUAGCACAUCUCGCUCAGGGCGUGCGGCGGGCUCCAGCCGUUAAAGCACCCACCUUUCGCAAGGUUGACCUCGGAUCAGGUAGGAAUACCCGCUGAACUUAAGCAUAUCAAUAAGCGGAGGA
This 334-nucleotide unclassified non-coding RNA is filed under the name soil metagenome. Its description in RNAcentral is "partial contains 5.8S ribosomal RNA, internal transcribed spacer 2, and large subunit ribosomal RNA". The stretch from base 1 to 120 matches the Rfam family "5.8S ribosomal RNA", at positions 35 to 154 of the family's 154-position model. The record is from RNAcentral.